AGCCUUCCAGGAGUAAUGGAGACCCUAUACAUACCUGUUUCCAUGCCUCCUAGAAGUUUC
Chlorocebus sabaeus (green monkey) is the source of this 60-nucleotide microRNA precursor. Lineage: Eukaryota; Metazoa; Chordata; Mammalia; Primates; Cercopithecidae. The record is from Ensembl.